This 432-nucleotide ribosomal RNA is filed under the name uncultured bacterium. Its description in RNAcentral is "partial 16S ribosomal RNA". It matches the Rfam family "Bacterial small subunit ribosomal RNA", at positions 29 to 506 of the family's 1533-position model. The record is from RNAcentral.
AACGAACGCUGGCGGCAUGCCUAACACAUGCAAGUCGAACGAGACCUUCGGGUCUAGUGGCGCACGGGUGCGUAACGCGUGGGAACCUGCCCUUAGGUUCGGAAUAACUCCCCGAAAGGGGUGCUAAUACCGGAUAAUGUCUUCGGACCAAAGAUUUAUCGCCUUUGGAUGGGCCCGCGUUGGAUUAGCUAGUUGGUAGGGUAAAAGCCUACCAAGGCGACGAUCCAUAGCUGGUCUGAGAGGAUGAUCAGCCACACUGGGACUGAGACACGGCCCAGACUCCUACGGGAGGCAGCAGUGGAGAAUAUUGGACAAUGGGCGAAAGCCUGAUCCAGCAAUGCCGCGUGAGUGAUGAAGGCCUUAGGGUUGUAAAGCUCUUUUACCCGGGAUGAUAAUGACAGUACCGGGAGAAUAAGCUCCGGCUAACUCCGU